This 450-nucleotide ribosomal RNA is filed under the name uncultured prokaryote. RNAcentral's name for it is "bacterial SSU rRNA". It matches the Rfam family "Bacterial small subunit ribosomal RNA", at positions 355 to 796 of the family's 1533-position model. The record is from RNAcentral.
UCGGGAAUUUUGGGCAAUGGGCGAAAGCCUGACCCAGCAACGCCGCGUGAGGGAUGAAGGCCUUCGGGUCGUAAACCUCUGUCGGGAGUGAAGAAGGACCCCCGGACCAAUAAUCCGGGGGUUUGACGGUACCUCCAAAGGAAGCGCCGGCUAACUCCGUGCCAGCAGCCGCGGUAAUACGGAGGGCGCGAGCGUUGUUCGGAAUCAUUGGGCGUAAAGCGCGUGUAGGCGGCUUGGUAAGUCGGGUGUGAAAGCCCGGGGCUCAACCCCGGAAAUGCACUCGAAACUACCUCGCUCGAGUCCCGGAGAGGAGGGCGGAAUUCCCGGUGUAGAGGUGAAAUUCGUAGAUAUCGGGAGGAACACCAGUGGCGAAGGCGGCCCUCUGGACGGCGACUGACGCUGAGACGCGAAAGCGUGGGGAGCAAACAGGAUUAGAUACCCCGGUAGUCC